Molecule: ribosomal RNA, 271 nt
Filed under: uncultured bacterium
Lineage: Bacteria
Description: partial 16S ribosomal RNA
Rfam family: Bacterial small subunit ribosomal RNA
Source: RNAcentral
GACGAACGCUGGCGGCGUGCUUAACACAUGCAAGUCGAGCGGUAAGGCCCUUUCGGGGGUACACGAGCGGCGAACGGGUGAGUAACACGUGGGUGACCUGCCCUCAGCUCUGGGAUAAGCCUGGGAAACCGGGUCUAAUACCGGAUAUGACUCCAUGACGCAUGUUGUGGGGUGAAAGCCUUGUGCGGCUGAGGAUGGGCCCGCGGCCUAUCAGCUUGUUGGUGGGGUGAUGGCCUACCAAGGCGACGACGGGUAGACCGGCCUGAGAGGG